This 859-nucleotide ribosomal RNA is filed under the name Neoascotaiwania guizhouensis. Its description in RNAcentral is "Neoascotaiwania sp. HD-2022a partial large subunit ribosomal RNA". It matches the Rfam family "Eukaryotic large subunit ribosomal RNA", at positions 57 to 941 of the family's 3401-position model. The record is from RNAcentral. Lineage: Eukaryota; Fungi; Ascomycota; Sordariomycetes; Savoryellales; Savoryellaceae.
AAAAGAAACCAACAGGGAUUGCCUCAGUAACGGCGAGUGAAGCGGCAACAGCCCAGAUUUGAAAUCUGGCCUUCGGGCCCGACUUGUAAUCUGCAGAUGGACUUUCCGGCGAGGCGUGCGUCCAAGUGCCCUGGAAUGGGCCGCCGCAGAGGGUGAGAGCCCCGUACUGGCGCGCGCCGAGCCUCCGUGAAACCCAUUCGACGAGUCGAGUAGUUUGGAAAUGCUGCUCUAAUUGUGGGGUAAAUCUCCCAUAAGGCUAAAUAUCGGCCGGAGACCGAUAGCGCACAAGUAGCGUGAGCGAAAGAUGAAAAGAGCCUUGGAUAAGGGCGUCAAACAGUAUGUGAAAUUGUUGUGGGGGAAGCGCUCGUCGCCAGACGUGGCGGCGGCUGGUUACCCGGCGUCCUCGCCGGCGCACUCUGCCCGCCGCCAGGCCAGCACCGGCUCGGGCCGGGGCUCAAUGCACGCGGGAACGUGGCUCCCUUCGGGGAGUGUUAUAGCCCACGCGCGACGCCCUGGGCCGGGCCGAGGACCGCGCAUUUGCUCGGAUGCUGGCUUAAUGGCGCCUAGCGACCCGUCUUGAAACACGGACCAAGGAGUUGACCUGGCGCGCGAGUGUUCGGGUGUCAAGCCCCUACGCGUAGUGAAAGCGAACGCAGGUGGGAGCCUCACGGCGCACCAUCGACCGAUCCUGAAGCUCGCAGAUGGAUUUGAGUAGGAGCGCGCCGGGUCUGACCCGAAAGAAGGUGAACUAUGCAUGAAUAGGGUGAAGCCAGAGGAAACUCUGGUGGAGGCUCGCAGCGGUUCUGACGUGCAAAUCGAUCGUCAAAUUUGUGCAUGGGGGCGAAAGACCAAUCGAACC